UACGGAGGAUCCGAGCGUUAUCCGGAUUUAUUGGGUUUAAAGGGUGCGUAGGCGGAAAUGUAAGUCAGUGGUGAAAUCCUGCAGCUUAACUGUAGAAUAGCCGUUGAAACUGUGUUUCUUGAGUACAUUUGAGGUAGGCGGAAUGUGGUGUGUAGCGGUGAAAUGCAUAGAUAUACCACAGAACACCGAUUGCGAAGGCAGCUUACUAAACUGUCACUGACGCUGAUGCACGAAAGCGUGGGGAUCAAACAGGAUUAGA
RNAcentral lists this ribosomal RNA (259 nucleotides) under uncultured prokaryote. Its description in RNAcentral is "partial 16S ribosomal RNA". It matches the Rfam family "Bacterial small subunit ribosomal RNA", at positions 524 to 782 of the family's 1533-position model. The record is from RNAcentral.